RNAcentral lists this ribosomal RNA (253 nucleotides) under uncultured bacterium. RNAcentral's name for it is "partial 16S ribosomal RNA". It matches the Rfam family "Bacterial small subunit ribosomal RNA", at positions 524 to 776 of the family's 1533-position model. The record is from RNAcentral.
UACGUAGGGUGCGAGCGUUAAUCGGAAUUACUGGGCGUAAAGCGUGCGCAGGCGGUUUUGCAAGUCAGAUGUGAAAUCCCCGGGCUCAACCUGGGAACUGCGUUUGAAACUACAGGGCUAGAGUAUGGGAGAGGGAGGUAGAAUUCCACGUGUAGCAGUGAAAUGCGUAGAGAUGUGGAGGAAUACCAAUGGCGAAGGCAGCCUCCUGGCCUAAUACUGACGCUCAUGCACGAAAGCGUGGGGAGCAAACAGG